CUAACCAAAACAGGGGAUCUCUGGCAUAACGUGACAUUUUCUAACGCUCCCAUAGGCUCUCAGAAGGCGCCAGAACGAUGAAUGGUGACUUUGCAGGCCAUGGCUGAAAAACAGUAGCGCAUUUGGAUAGUGGUCGAUCUGAGGACAAUGAGACUGGAGGCGCGUGGACGAGCCGACACCAUGUUUACAUUGGUGGUCGGAAUAUUAUCGCUUUUUUACGAGAAAAAUCGCAUAAAAAUUGAUUUUAAACAGCGUUUGACAUGCUUCGAAGUACGGUAAUGGAAUAUUUUGAAUUUUUUUGUCACGAAACGCGUCGGGCGCGUCACCCUUCUUUACCCUUCGGAUAGUGUCUUGAAUGCACGAACAAAACGCCGCUAUUUGGAUAUAACUAUGGAUUGUUUGGAACCAAACCAACAUUUGUUAUUGAAGUAGAAGUCCUGGGAGUGCAUUCUGACGAAGAACAGCAAAGAACUGACCACAAAGAUGAUGAUGAAGACUGUAAUCUUUCUGGGCUGCCUCCUGGGCCUGUCAUUGGCUCUUCCUGCUGAAGUGGAUCACUUGAGAGUUGCACGUUCCAGCUCUGACUCCAACUCUAACUCAAACUCCAAGGAGGCUGGUGGUUCCUUCCUGCCCUCCCUGCCAAAGUUGAAUUCAAAUCAGCUACUUCAACUGCUACUUAAACUGUUUGCUGCCUCUGCCCCAGCACCAGCCCCUGCCCCAGCUCCUGCACCUUCCCCUGCUCCUGCCCC
This 749-nucleotide long non-coding RNA is filed under the name Salmo salar (Atlantic salmon). Its description in RNAcentral is "lncRNA (ENSSSAG00000084256.1)". The record is from RNAcentral. Lineage: Eukaryota; Metazoa; Chordata; Actinopteri; Salmoniformes; Salmonidae.